This is a small nucleolar RNA of Otolemur garnettii (small-eared galago), 72 nucleotides long. NCBI's taxonomy places the organism in Eukaryota, Metazoa, Chordata, Mammalia, Primates, Galagidae. The record is from Ensembl.
CGGAUCAAUGAUGACUACCGGUGGCGUAUGAGUUUUAUAUGAUGAAUACGUAUCUGGAACUCUGAGGUCCGU